GACGAACGCUGGCGGCGUGCUUAACACAUGCAAGUCGAACGGAAAGGCCCUGCUUUUGUAGGGUGCUCGAGUGGCGAACGGGUGAGUAACACGUGAGUAACCUGCCCUUGACUUUGGGAUAACUUCAGGAAACUGGGGCUAAUACCGGAUAGGAGCUCCUGCUGCAUGGUGGGGGUUGGAAAGUUUCGGCGGUUGGGGAUGGACUCGCGGCUUAUCAGCUUGUUGGUGGGGUAGUGGCUUACCAAGGCUUUGACGGGUAGCCGGCCUGAGAGGGUGACCGGCCACAUUGGGACUGAGAUACGGCCCAAACUCCUACGGGAGGCAGCAGUGGGGAAUAUUGCACAAUGGGCGGAAGCCUGAUGCAGCAACGCCGCGUGCGGGAUGACGGCCUUCGGGUUGUAAACCGCUUUCGCCUGUGACGAAGCGUGAGUGACGGUAAUGGGUAAAGAAGCACCGGCUAACUACGUG
RNAcentral lists this ribosomal RNA (468 nucleotides) under uncultured bacterium. RNAcentral describes it as "partial 16S ribosomal RNA". It matches the Rfam family "Bacterial small subunit ribosomal RNA", at positions 28 to 507 of the family's 1533-position model. The record is from RNAcentral.